UUUGACCUAAAUCAAGACGAUACAGAAAAUUAGAACGAUACAGAAAAGAUUAGCAUGACCCCUAUGCAAGGAUGCCAUGCACAGAUCGAAAAAUGGUAUCAGAGACU
Molecule: small nuclear RNA, 107 nt
Organism: Juglans microcarpa x Juglans regia
Lineage: Eukaryota; Viridiplantae; Streptophyta; Magnoliopsida; Fagales; Juglandaceae
Source: RefSeq, a predicted model, not a curated record